UACGUAGGGGGCAAGCGUUGUCCGGAUUUAUUGGGCGUAAAGAGCGUGUAGGCGGCCAGACAGGUCCGUUGUGAAAACUCGAGGCUCAACCUCAAGCUGUCGGUGGAAACCCCUUGGCUAGAGUCCGGAAGAGGAGAGUGGAAUUCCUGGUGUAGCGGUGAAAUGCGCAGAUAUCAGGAAGAACACCAAUGGCGAAGGCAGCUCUCUGGGACGGUACUGACACUGAGACGCGAAAGCGUGGGGAGCAAACAGG
RNAcentral lists this ribosomal RNA (253 nucleotides) under uncultured bacterium. RNAcentral describes it as "partial 16S ribosomal RNA". It matches the Rfam family "Bacterial small subunit ribosomal RNA", at positions 524 to 776 of the family's 1533-position model. The record is from RNAcentral.